GACGAACGCUGGCGGCGUGCUUAACACAUGCAAGUCGAACGCUGAAGCUCAGCUUUUGUUGGGUGGAUGAGUGGCGAACGGGUGAGUAACACGUGAGUAACCUGCCCCCUUCUUUGGGAUAACGCCCGGAAACGGGUGCUAAUACUGGAUAUUCACUGGUCUUCGCAUGGGGGUUGGUGGAAAGGGUUUUUCUGGUGGGGGAUGGGCUCGCGGCCUAUCAGCUUGUUGGUGGGGUGAUGGCCUACCAAGGCUUUGACGGGUAGCCGGCCUGAGAUGGUGACCGGUAACAUAGGGACGGAGAUACGGACCAGACUACUGCGGGAGGCAGCAGUGGGGAAUAUUGCACAAUGGGCGCAAGCCUGAUGCAGCGACGCGGCGUGAGGGAUGGAGGCCUUCGGGUUGUGAACCUCUUUCGCGCAUGGUCAAGCAGCAACAAUGGUUGUGGUGAGGGUAGUGGGUAAAGAAGCGCCGGCUAACUACGUG
Molecule: ribosomal RNA, 483 nt
Filed under: uncultured bacterium
Lineage: Bacteria
Description: partial 16S ribosomal RNA
Rfam family: Bacterial small subunit ribosomal RNA
Source: RNAcentral